Molecule: small nuclear RNA, 106 nt
Organism: Acomys russatus (golden spiny mouse)
Lineage: Eukaryota; Metazoa; Chordata; Mammalia; Rodentia; Muridae
Source: RefSeq, a predicted model, not a curated record
GUGUUCACUUUGACCACACAUACACUAAAACUGGAAUAAUACAGACAAAGUUAGCAUGGCACUUCGCAAGGUUGACAUGCAGAUUCGGGUAAUGUUCCCCUUCUUU